This 422-nucleotide ribosomal RNA is filed under the name Erwinia sp. RNAcentral describes it as "bacterial SSU rRNA". It matches the Rfam family "Bacterial small subunit ribosomal RNA", at positions 21 to 439 of the family's 1533-position model. Lineage: Bacteria; Pseudomonadati; Pseudomonadota; Gammaproteobacteria; Enterobacterales; Erwiniaceae. The record is from RNAcentral.
GGCUCAGAUUGAACGCUGGCGGCAGGCCUAACACAUGCAAGUCGAACGGUAGCACAGAGAGCUUGCUCUUGGGUGACGAGUGGCGGACGGGUGAGUAAUGUCUGGGAAACUGCCCGAUGGAGGGGGAUAACUACUGGAAACGGUAGCUAAUACCGCAUAACGUCUUCGGACCAAAGUGGGGGACCUUCGGGCCUCACACCAUCGGAUGUGCCCAGAUGGGAUUAGCUAGUAGGUGGGGUAACGGCUCACCUAGGCGACGAUCCCUAGCUGGUCUGAGAGGAUGACCAGCCACACUGGAACUGAGACACGGUCCAGACUCCUACGGGAGGCAGCAGUGGGGAAUAUUGCACAAUGGGCGCAAGCCUGAUGCAGCCAUGCCGCGUGUAUGAAGAAAGGCCCUUCGGGUUGUAAAGUACUUUCAG